AUUGAACGCUGGCGGCAGGCCUAACACAUGCAAGUCGAACGGUAACAGGAAGAAGCUUGCUUCUUUGCUGACGAGUGGCGGACGGGUGAGUAAUGUCUGGGAAACUGCCUGAUGGAGGGGGAUAACUACUGGAAACGGUAGCUAAUACCGCAUAAUGUCGCAAGACCAAAGAGGGGGACCUUCGGGCCUCUUGCCAUCGGAUGUGCCCAGAUGGGAUUAGCUAGUAGGUGGGGUAACGGCUCACCUAGGCGACGAUCCCUAGCUGGUCUGAGAGGAUGACCAGCCACACUGGAACUGAGACACGGUCCAGACUCCUACGGGAGGCAGCAGUGGGGAAUAUUGCACAAUGGGCGCAAGCCUGAUGCAGCUAUGCCGCGUGUAUGAAGAAGGCCUUCGGGUUGUAAAGUACUUUCAGCGGGGAGGAAGGGAGUAAAGUUAAUACCUUUGCUCAUUGACGUUACCCGCAGAAGAAGCUCCGGCUAACUCCGUG
Molecule: ribosomal RNA, 490 nt
Filed under: uncultured bacterium
Lineage: Bacteria
Description: partial 16S ribosomal RNA
Rfam family: Bacterial small subunit ribosomal RNA
Source: RNAcentral